UUUUUAUGGAGAGUUUGAUCCUGGCUCAGGAUGAACGCUGGCGGCGUGCCUAAUACAUGCAAGUCGAGCGAACAGACGAGGAGCUUGCUCCUCUGACGUUAGCGGCGGACGGGUGAGUAACACGUGGAUAACCUACCUAUAAGACUGGGAUAACUUCGGGAAACCGGAGCUAAUACCGGAUAAUAUAUUGAACCGCAUGGUUCAAUAGUGAAAGACGGUUUUGCUGUCACUUAUAGAUGGAUCCGCGCCGCAUUAGCUAGUUGGUAAGGUAACGGCUUACCAAGGCGACGAUGCGUAGCCGACCUGAG
RNAcentral lists this ribosomal RNA (308 nucleotides) under Staphylococcus epidermidis NIH06004. RNAcentral's name for it is "partial 16S ribosomal RNA". It matches the Rfam family "Bacterial small subunit ribosomal RNA", at positions 1 to 296 of the family's 1533-position model. The record is from RNAcentral. Lineage: Bacteria; Bacillati; Bacillota; Bacilli; Caryophanales; Staphylococcaceae.